Molecule: long non-coding RNA, 1127 nt
Filed under: Elaeis guineensis (African oil palm)
Lineage: Eukaryota; Viridiplantae; Streptophyta; Magnoliopsida; Arecales; Arecaceae
Description: long non-coding RNA (EGUI_LNC039139)
Source: RNAcentral
CACAAAGGAGCAUCCUUGAACAUGAUGCCAAGUAUCACUAAAAGGAGGAUAAGUAGCACCAACCCUUGGCUGCUGCCGCAGCCAACAAUGACCAUGGUUGAAUCACCCUACACAACUAGCUUCUUGGCCCACAGCCUCGGUCUUGAAAGAAAAUACCAGCUUAGGUAGCCCACAACUCUAUUGCAAAAAUGGUACUGUCAAGGAGGUGACACCCACCAGUAACCACUAGUUUAGAGUCAGGGCCGAGAAUGACAAAGCCUGCACCACCCCUAAGACCUCUCAUACUGCUGUUGAAGUUGACCUUGAGGAAACUUAGGGGUGGGGGCUUCCAAGUGAUAAACACUACACAGGGUCAUUACCUGAGUGGUUGGGGAGUCCUAAGUGUCCUAAGUAAUUGAGAUCAGAUCAAUUAACAACACAUCUAUAACCUUCCUAGCCUGCACCAAUGCCCUCCCCAUGGUAAAUCUUGCUGGCUGCCAAGAUGCCUCAGAGGUUUCUCUAUUCCUAGCAAGCCAAAUAUGAUAAGCGAUAUACACUGCCUUGAUUCCCCAUCUCCUAGUAGAAUCACUUUGUAGACUCCACUGUAGCCCCUCCAGAGAGUACUAAGCUAGAUCCAUAGAGGCAUCCGCCAUCCGAGAGAGUCUUACUAAAGUCCGAACAUGUCGAGCCUUAGAACAAAAGAACAAAAUAUGGUCCACUAUCUCGUCAUCAUUACAAUCGCUCAAGCAGGACAGAGGGAUGUCCAUACCUCUGGCAUGCAGCAUUGCCCUAGUCAGAAGAGAGCGCCAAGCCACCUUCAAAAGAAAGAGACGAACCCUCGAAUGGACCUUAACCCUCUAAAUCCAUGCACCAUCCAUCCUCCUAACCAUCUCCUCCUGAACAUCUUAUAAAGAUCUCUCGUCAUUGCCCUUGAUGUGCAAAUAGAACCCCAAACUCUAACAUCCAGACAUCGAAGAUAGGGACAGCAGUGGCCAGCACUCUCUCCACAAGGACCGGCCCGAAAAGCUGGGAUACCACAUUAGCAUGCCAACACCCCCCUCCCUAGGCUGGAGGAGAUCUACUAUCUGUAUCGAGUCUAUAGUCUCCAUACUGAUAUAGGUCGGCCAGCAGACCAUUGACACAUCAGC